RNAcentral lists this long non-coding RNA (28355 nucleotides) under Cucumis sativus (cucumber). RNAcentral describes it as "long non-coding RNA (CSAT_LNC000138)". Lineage: Eukaryota; Viridiplantae; Streptophyta; Magnoliopsida; Cucurbitales; Cucurbitaceae. The record is from RNAcentral.
GGUGUUGGUAGAGGUGUAGAUGUCAACACUGGUGGCAGAGCAGCUUCUGGUGUUUCUUCCAAUGCUGGCGGUGGUUGUGGUGAUGGAGGUGGCACAGCAGCUUCUGGUGUUUCUUCCAAUGCUGGCGGUGGUUGUGGUGAUGGAGGUGGCACAGCUGCUUUGACGAGAAUAGAUGGGAAAUCAAGGACUACAAUCUUGUCAAUGGCUGCACUGAAGGUGGGGCAGAACUCAAGGUGUUUAGGAUGGGUAAGAAAUGAAGUGAUGGCUUCUUUGUCAUCAAAUGUCAUUGAGAAGACGUGUGUGAAGCCUUGUGUCAGCAUGUCUUGGCCUUCCACAUCAUGUCCCCUGUCCAAAGCCAAGCAGUAGUAUAUUUGCAUUACCCAUUGUUCAAGUUCCAAACAUCACUUGCAAGGGAUAACACUCUAUGUUUUUUUUCAAAAGCAUUUAAUUUUGAACUUUAAUCAAUUAAAUAAAUCAACUAUUAGUAGGGUACUGUCUCUAUCUAAAUUGAAGUAUCCAUCGACUAGAAUCCAAAGGAGAACACAAAAUUGUUACAAUUAUUAUAACUUGGAAUCAGAUAUAACAACAUGGAUUAACAGGAUGAGAGGGGAGUUUAGAUGAGAGAGAGAUACCACUCAAAGGACUUGACAGAGUCAAUAUCAGAAACCAUCUUCUCCACUUGCGCAACAAUUUCAUCCACAUUCAGACCCUCCUUAAACUUGGCAACAACAAGGUGCUUGAACUCGCCCAUGGCUGUCUACAAAGACUGGAAAUGUGAGAAGAAGGUGGAUUGAAGAACAGAAUUUAUACAGAGGCAUUUCACCGAAACUUAGCGUGGAGUUAGAGAGUAACUGGGUUUUUCCCCCUCUGUCCGCUGACACAAGACCACGUUCCAUUUUCGCGGUUGGGUUUUGAAGCAAUCAAUCGCCUAAAAAUGGCUAUGGGGCUAUGGGGCUAAUGGGCUAUGGGUAAUGGAGUAAUUGUUGGCUUUGUUUCCAUGUUGAUAGUUGACUGCAUCAGGUGUGUACAAGGACUAAGGGAGAAAGGACCCACAAGGUCAGUGGCUUGAGCCGCACGGUUGGACUUGGACCUACCCUUCCCUGCUUUGGAAUCUCUCUCUCUUCAUCUCCUCUCGCCUCUCACUCCUUAACCCAUAAUUGAAUAGACAAUGGUUUGUGUGCUCCCCAUCUUUCCAUACAAACAAAUAAGAAUAAUGUUUAGAAAAAAUAGCCGCACGUCAGAUCUUUACAAGUUUUUUCCUAAUUGAAAGAGAUAACACUUGAACUCAUCAAUCAUCAUUCAUCAUUCAUCAUCAUGCACCUGCCCAAAAUCUACAUCUAUACUCCUCUUUCAUGGUCUACUUACCGAUUAUUUUUUUUUAUAAAAGUAUGUACGGAACAAUUGAACUUUUUAUAAACCAUUAUAUUAAGUUUUGUACUGGGUACACGACUAAAUUAUCAUGUUUGCAAUUGAUUUGUCAAUGUGGUAGCCACUACUGUCAUGUUGUCCAAUUUGCAUGAAGUCAUGGAUUGGGUACUCGAUUUCAAUGCCAUGUCGUGUAUCCGACCCUUGACUUAAAGGUGGAUUUGUGUUUUGGCUACUCGACUUCGUCAACUUGAAAAACCUAUCCUGCUUCUACCUUUCUGUUAUGUCUCUGCCAAUUACGUCUCCAGCCAAAAGAACUAUUCCCUCCACUUCUACAGCUACCGUAUUCAUAUUGUUGUUGUCGUUGCCAUCUCAUUGUUUGACAUUCAUUUGCUGCCAUUUAUUUUGGUUUAUAAAAAAUAAAUCUAUUUGUAUAAUUUAUUUGUUUUAUCAUUCUACUUAUAUAAAUGUAUUCAUUAUGAAUGAAACAUUAUGUAUGUAUUAAUUGUUGGACUGACUAGAAAAAUAGCAUAUUCGAAAGUUUAAUUUGGAUAAAUAGCAAAGUUUAAUUUAAAUCGAAAAAUCUAAAGAAAAAUUGCAAUGGCAAUGUCUUAAAUGUCCCUAAUCUAGUGAAAAAACUAGCAUUCAAACAUUCAACAAAAAGAGGUUCAUCGAAAAAGAUUCAUCUAACCCUCCAAAACUCUUCAAACCUAAAACGAUUCCAACUUUCAGCUUCGUUUUCCUCAAACUCACAUCUAGUGGUUACUAUUUUGUGGUUCGGUCUUAUGCAAACUUAUUGCAUAGAAUACCCUCACUCGCAUGUCACCUACACAAACACGUUGGAUCAUUGUACUUAUAUCUGAUAAAAAGUAAGCUAUAUCUCUAUAGGGUCUUUUGAUCUCAAACAUUAGCGCUUAUUUCUAGAUAUCGACUUCUAGAGAUCGAACCACAUCACAUCAAAUCAACAAAAAAUACAGCAUUAACUCAAGUUCAACUCCAUAAAUCAAAUUUCUCCGAAAAGCUCGUGUGAACAACUGUCAAUAAUUUUAUUUAUGACAGAUUGUAACUCUCGUCGUAGUUCAUUUUUCUUGUGGUGCUUUAAAACAUAUGACAAUGUAGAUGGUACAUAAGAGGCAAGAGGGAAUGACAUAUGACAAUGGAUAGUAGUACUCUUCAAGACAUAUAACAACGUAAAUGAAAUAUGGAGUGAGUGAUACAUGACCGUGAACAUUAACCAUAAUAACGAGCCCUAUUUAGUAAUAUUUAUAAUAGAAUAAGUGUAUAACACACAAAUUAUUCUAAUAAAUAAAUAAAAGAAAUAGCACACAAAUAAAACCUUUUUAGCUAAUUAUUUUUAUGUGUUGUGUGAGUGCCCUCUUGGGCAGAUUGAAUCCCAAACCAAAACAAAACUUUUCAUUACUAAUUUUUACACACUUGAAUUUUCAAACAGAGACUAAAAAUAUAAAAUCUCUUUCACUACAACAAUGUUUUGAUUCCCACCCUUUCAUUUUCUUGUGUUUAGAGUCUUAGACCCUAUGUUAAUUAGGUUUCUAACUUCAUAUUUCUUAUUCAAAUAAUUAUUACUUCUUAAAUCCAUCUUCUAUACUCAUCCCAUCGUCUAAUUUCAUUAAUAUGACUUACUCAUACAACUGAUCCAAGAAUUUCUUGUUCUACUUUGGAAAAGUUUAAACGCUGGGAAAAUGAUAUAAAUUUGAUAGCUCUUCAAAGAACGACCGGGAAAAUGAUAUAAAUAUGAUAGCUCUUCUAAGGACUUAUACAAUCGGUUAUUCAAACAGUAGUUAAGACUUUAGACUUUUUUCCUACAUGCUUAUAGUUGUUUUUCCUGUUCAGUUUUAAAUUGUCAUGAAUUUAAUUUAGAUUUAAACUUGAUUCCAACCUCAUCGUUAACUUAAUCUAAAUCAUUAAUUCUACAUGUAACAUUCAUUUACUUUUCUCGUCGAUUCUCCAAAUCAUUCCUCUCUACCGAGUAGAUGUUCGAAGUGAGUGUUAUAAUAACUUUUCGAAACAACCGACAUAAGUGACUCUCACUAAAGUCUUUGCUAAUUUCAACGUAGUGGUUUUCAUAGCACAACGCUCUAGCUUUGUAAUCAACGACGAAUAACAAAUACUUUUUAACUUUUUAAAAUACAAUGUUAGUCGUAAAAUUUUGAGAUGGAAGCUAGGGAGAGGAGAGUAAGUACGAAUAGGGUAAUCUCCCAUAGAUUAAGCUAGAGAGUGAAGACUAUUUAAUAGUCGGAGAAAACUAAAGAGAUAAGUUACAAUAUUUGUUCUAUUCAUAUUGUUAUCGAGAAAGUAUACAAUUAUUUGUGUUUCAAACCUACCAACUCAAAUAAUUGUGAGUGAAAGGUGAAAAACUUUUUUCACUAACUCUAAAAGUUACCCAUAAGUGAUUUUUACACCAUCUUUUUUGGAACUUUUUUUUGUUUGGUGGAACACUAUCUUUUAUAAUAUUGUGAGAUAGAAAGAAUCAAACAUAGACUGAUGAUACAUGAACUUAUUUCCCUAAGCAAAUUAUAUUAUUCAAUUUUUCUAAAGAAAAUUAAAGUAAACAAAUAUAAAUUGGUUAAAAUUAUAAAAUUUGAAUGAUAUUUCAAACAAAUAAUUGGUUCAACUUUCAAAAUUGGUAAGGGUAUGUUCAUCAAAUUUAAUUUGUAAAUUAUAACUUAUUGUACUAUAUAUAAAAAAAAGAAAUAAAAAGAGUAAAUAAUUGAGUGUGAAUAAUGGAAAGGCUGUGAGUGAAUUGACUUGAAGGACACAUAUAAUGUACUAUUUUUGAGUUGAAAAGAAAAUCCAUUUCAACAAGUAAAACAUUACCCACACUCAAUUAUUCACUCUUUCAACUUUUAUACCUUUCUUUAUCAAAAAAAAAAUUAUAUUAUCAUUAUUUCUUUUUAUUUUUAUGACCCAACUUAUACUCUUAUUAAUUAAAACUAAUGAACAAGUAGAUAAAAAAACUAUAUUGCACUCCCAAAAUAGUUAUAUUAACACUGGUGAGAUGGACUGUGAUUGGGUCAACAAUAUUCCAUUUUCUUCUUCUUUAGGGUUUUUCUUAGCUUCUCUUUUGAGUCAAAUGUAUUAGUUGAAGGCUCUUCUACCUAUUUCCUUUUCUCUAGUGUAUACAAUAAAUGCUAAUUAAUGUGUACACAUAUAAUAUAUGUUACAUACAAUUAGAACACAAUAACACUUUACCCUCAGCUUGUCCAUGAUUUGUCAAUAAGAUAUUUAGUUAGAACAACAUAAUUAUAUGUAUUUCAUGGCUUCAUAGUGUUGAAUCCUAACUCUCUUUAAUUCCAAAUGUUUUGUUUGUUAUUCAAAAACAAAAUCAACAUGUUAUAUAUUCUUUAAAUAUACUACACAUCUUAUGAAAAAAAAAUGUGGUUCUAUGAUGGUUUUUUGUUGAUAACCUAUAUAUAAAAAUAGUGAAAGGCAUUGAAGGAUGGAUGAUAAAUGAUAGUGUCUAAAAACAUCCUACAAUUUUGCAAAUAGCAUCACGAGGGGAUUGCAUCAAAAGGUCUGUAGGGACUGAAAUGCAAAAGGCAAAAGAAGAAGAAAUUACAAAAUUGCUUUAGGCCAAGUGCCCCACAUGCCAUGAACAACAUACACACAUCCUAUUCAUAUCCAUACCAUAUUCUUGUUCUACAGAAUUGUAAGCUUUCCAAUGGCAAACUGAUGAUAUCUUUUUUCUUUUGAAUUACACCAAUUGAGGCAACCAAGCAGAGAUUCCAUGCCAACAAGAAAAUGUAAAAUCACUCACAGUGAACAAAGAGGAGUCCAUUGAUAAUGUGUACCCACCCAAUUUUGGGAAUCUAAAUCUAAAUUUGAUACUUGAUGCCUCUGAAAUAUCUGUGCAUAUCUUAUGGAGCUUUUUUUAUGAAUGAAUCUUUUCACAGAGGCCUUUUGUGAUUAAUCACUCAACCUCAGAAAAUGUGUGAAAUAUAAUCUUCUAAUUACAUGUAAUGCAUUAGGGCUAUACAAAUUCUAAUUAAAGACUGUCUUUAUAAUGUAUCACAGUAGAUGACCAUUUGUGAUAAACAUACAAAUGUGCACUAACACAUAAUCAAAAGAUUAUAUUAUCUACAUUUGUCAAAGCACAUAUCAGUCCUACAAAAAACUCUAUUGGUUAAGUGAGGAACAAACUCGAAGGGCUUCAACAUUGUUUUGACAUUGACAACAUCAAAUUAAAAACAUUUUCCUCCAUUUAUGUGUAACUCAGAGUAAACAAAAUGAAUAAUAAUUUAUGGAAAAACUACAUUUCUAAUCCUCAAAAUUUGAAAAAUUUGUACCAUUUCAUUCACUAGUAUAUCUUUGUAGUUCUCAAAUUUAUAAAAACAAACUCAUUUGAUUUAUGAGUUUUAAAAAUUCAAUGUAUUUUCAAAAUUAAGUUUAAAAAUAUCCGUCAAAAUCACUUCUCACACUUAUAUGAUAUUUCAUCAGACACUUUUAUUUUAAAUACUUAUAUGACAUUUCAAUUUGGAUGAAUAAUUUCUAAAGUUCAUAUCCACCUUUUAAAAGUGUUUUUACUCUCAUUUUAAAUAUUAUAUAAUUUUUUUUAAAAAAAGAACCUUUUAAAUCUAUUUUAAAAACUAAAAGACUUUAAAAUACAUUUUGAAAAUUUGGGUAAAUGAAUUUAUUCUUAUAAAUCCACGUUAUUUUAAAAACUCACAAACCAAAUACACAUAUUUAUCAAAACUUCAAAACUAGAAAGAUAAUUUUUUCUAAUUUUAUUAAUUGAUAGUUUGAAAAUUAAAAUAUCAAAAUAGGUAGAAGUUUUAAGGAAAGCAAAUUUUAGUCCUCCAAUUUUAAAAUGAGAAACAAAUUACAUUAAUCUCGUUCAAUUUUAGUUAAAUUUGAAUUACAAGCUCCUAAAUUAAAUCAGUAAUAAAAUAAUAUUUAACUUGAUAUUAGACACAUUAAUAAUCUUCAAUUUAAUUUUAGUUACACAGAAAUUAAAUGUAUAUUUCAUUUUUUAACAUUACCAUAUUAUUAAUAGAAAAUCUAACCAAUGUAUUUCAAUUUAAAUUAGUCAUUCUUUUUUACAUAUUUAAGCCAGUUUCUUUAACAUAACAAACAUUAAAAACACACUUAAUAAGAAUUUUGUUGUAUUUGAAUAAUGGAAAGACAUUUUUAAGAAUGAAACUGCUAAAAACAUUUAUAAAUAUAUGAAAAAUAUCACAAUCAUAAGAAUAAGUAGCAUACUAUAUUGUGGUUAAUGGUAAAUAGAUUGUAAUAUUUUGUAAAUAUUAUAAUUCAUUUCGUUAGAUUCGAAAAUAACUCAAUAUUUUAGUUUUAAACUUAAUUAUAUUAAAAAUAAUCAAAAUGGAUGAAAAAUAUAAACUAAAUCUAAAACCUAAACCGUGAUCAAGACUUCUAAAUCUACCCUGUGAAUAAAAGGUCAAAAUAAACAAUGCCAAUAUUACUUUGUAAUACCAAAUUUGGAAGCCAUAAGAGUUAUUCUUGAGGAGGUAGUUUCUGGUGCAGCAAGGAAAGGCCUUCACACUUCUUCCUAAGCCGAUACAUUCGUUUUCGAUGUGUUCGACCUUGAUUGUGUUGUUCCCAUUCAUGUGCUCCUCUUAAUACUUUAUUUCCACAAGCCUGUACAAAUCAAAUACUUUCAGGAAUAUGUUUCACGCAUUGGUGUUCAUUUUUCCUUUGUAUGGGUGCAUGUGCAUGCUGGAAAAGUAUUUGUAAUGUAAUGCUUUCCAUGUAGUUUCAAUAGUAUUUAUGUACGAAAGAAGAUAAAUGAUAAUGUCUUCAAUUAUCCCAUUCAAUGGUUUUCUUUCUAAUCAUUCAGUAUGCAGAGAAUUCUUGAAGCAAUGGUAAUUAGUGUUCAUGGCUUAUUACUAUUAUUAUUCUUAUUUUGAUAUUUUCCAUUUAUAUAUUUUCAAUGGGCUCUAUUUAUUCCCCCAUGUAAAAGGUCAUAUGUAAUCUAAUUUAUUCACAAGAAUAUUGUUCCUUCGCCUAGCUUUUUGCCAUUUAUUCUAGUUAAACAGGACUGACCCAAAAAUUUUGACUAAUGGGUGAACGUAAAUUUAUUACUAUACCAACAUUCUCCCUUAUUUGUGAGAAUUUAAAAAUAUGUUGAAGACCCAAAAAUGAAAAUCAAAACUAAUUGAUAAAGAAAUAACAUUACGAAGAUUUGAACACAUGAACACAUGACUUUAAGUCACGUAUUUUGAUACUAUGUUAAAUUUACCAUUAAUCCAAAAGCUUAAGCUAAGCUAUGAAUGUAAAUUUAACGUAGUAAGAACUAUUUUGACGCUGAAACCUCAACUGUUUUCAAGUGCAAAACAAAAAUAGUUAGAAACACGACCUAAUGGAAAUUACCUGGCAUAUAUACUGUGUCCACAAGUCCUUCUUGAUUAGCUCUGAACUGUGUGGUUUCAUUGUCUCGGUCGCCGAACCAUCUGUAAGAAAAGAUCUAAUUAUCUGGACUGCUGGUUCAACGACGUGUGCAGUCCAUGAAUCCUCCACCUUGCCUAAUGUUUGAAAUAGCAGGCGUUCAAGAUAAUGGGUCAGGCAAGAGGAAGCUUAUUAAUUAAAUAAUGAGCUCAAGAUUAUCACAGAAAUUAUACAUGUUAUAUAUUCCGUGGAAUCAACAUAGUGGAUCUUCCAUCCAAACAAAGUUUCCAGUCUCUUUAGCUGCCUCCUCUGAAAACAAUAAAUACACUUUAUAACAGAAAGUAUAGAAUAGAAACAUACCUAUAUUACUUUAAAUGUACUUCCACAGUAAAAAAUUUACGCAUAUAUAACUUAGUCUCUAAGCUUUUUUUUUAAGAGACCAAGGUCAUUGAUUAGUUGAGGAAUGAAAUGUAACAGGAAGAUAAAAAUAAUUCUAGCAACUAUUGUGUAAGACCCCUGGCUCAGGGUUGGGAGGAUUAUUAGUAAAUAUUACUACAGUUAUUUUUUAUUAGAAGGGGCAUAUUAGUAAUUAGCUAGUAAGUUGGUUAAAGCUUUUAGUUAUAUAUAGUGAGAGUGGAUUGAAACGCUAUGUUAUAUCGUAGUUUCUUCAUUCAUAUUGCAAUAGAUGUUUAUCUGUAGUGUUCUUUGUUUGUUCUGUGUUCUUGAGCACCUCUCAUGGGUGGUAUCCUAACAUAUUGUUCAUGGAAUAUAAAAUAGAACUUCAACUAGAGACUAAAGUAGAAAGACUAACAUUAUAACUAUACGAUGUCGGUUGUCAACCAACAUCUAUGAACAUGUUAUUAAAGUCAGUUAUAAACUGACAUUAAAGAUGACAACAAUGUAUUGGAAUUUGUCCUCGAACUUAUAGUUUGUCGUUUAAAAUUAUAUUUUAUUCAAUAAAGUGGUUAUUAAGGACUUCUUAGUGAAAAUAGAAUAUUAUAAUCUUGAAUCCAAUAAACUAAGGUCCCGAGGCUAUCUAGUGUAAACUUGAACUUUAUGUAAAGACAUAAACGUGGAUCAAGUUCAAGUAUAUAGCCCAAACGGUCUAUAGUGUAUGAAUAAGGUUGGACGCCUUAUUCUGGGGAUACUAUGGAUGCGGCAUGCUUUAUAGUUAGUAAAAACGAUGUGAUCUUGAAUCGUUCAUGUAGAGACAUGAAAGUGAGGACAUCCUAUGUAAAGAGUUUACAUAAGACUAAAACCAUAAAAUAGUCACUUUUAAGUUAUUACACUGUUGACUAUAUAAAACUGACUUAGAUAACUUAAUCUUAAUCCUGAGCUAAUUAUGAACUUUUGUUCAAACGGAAUUAUCCUUAAAUUUGCAUACGUGAGAGCACCUUAACAGUGUCGACACAAUAAGCCUCUCAUUUUUGGGGUAAGACUGGUCAGAUGGCUAAGGACAUAGGGUGCAAGACAGAAUUCACUCCAGAUAGAUUGUCUCUUAAAGACUGAAUCCAAGUCUUGAACAAAGGGUUUCACCCUUUCAUUACAAGGGAUUCGGUUUAUAAAUUGGACCUUAAACCAAUUAUUAACAGUGGAUCAGUAGAACUUAAGGAGCAAAAUAUAAUCUUGAAGGUAUAAUGGUAUUUUGACUCAUUCGAGAUUACGAAAAACUUGUGAAUAAUCAACUUACUUAUCAUGGUUAUACUAGAUGAACACAGAUAUAUCUAUAGUGAGGGGAGUGCAACUACGAGACUUUAGUGGAAUCGUCACAUUAUUUAAUACACGAUAAUGCACACAAAACCUCCAAUUACCAUCCUUUUUCUUCACCAGAAGCAUAGGGCUAGAAUAUGGGCUUGUGUUUGGUCUUAUGACUCCCGAGGCUAACAUUUCAUUUACCAAUUUCUCCAUCUCCUCUUUCUGUUGGUAGGAAUAUCUAUACGUUCAAACAUUGGUCCCCUUCUUCAAAUGAAUGUGUUGAUCUAUGUUUCUCUAAUACCAAUAUGAUAGAACACUAACUUACAUUGUGUAUUAUUCAAAAGAUCAACAGAAACAAGUACGAGAAAUUGACAAAGUAUCAAUUCCUGAAUCAAAGCAAGUAAGAAGGGUAAAGAAGAAUAAGAAGAACACUACCCACCCCUCUGCCCUUCCUAUCUUUCAAGGAAUUGACAAAUGAUUCACACAAUUCUCAUACCUCACUCACAGACCCCGCUUUGCUAUUUAUACCUCCUCUCGCUCCUAACUAACUGUGGGUCUCAGUCUUGGCAGGCUGGCAGCAAUACGGCAUUACAUGUGCACUCCCCUUAUUCCCCCUCCUACUGUACUGCCACAUGAUAGGUGCUCUACCAGAAAACUCUCCAUCUUUGCCACAAGGACCUCCGCUAAAAAUUUUAUGAAGACACACCUAAACUACUGGUUGAAGCACUGAAUUUUUUUUAAAUCUACUUUAAAAGAUAGAAAUAGAAGAGCAAAAAAUAAGAAACAAACUGGUUAUCCAUUCCUUCUUGAUCCAUAUUGAUAUUCGCAUUUGGACAACAUGUUCAUUUCUACAACAAAAUCACAUCAGAUAAAAGGAAGUUAAUUGAUACAUACCUGACGACGAACCAGUCUUCUAGUAUUCAACUUUACAUUAUCUACGGCUUCUUUUAGUAGCAAACUGGGUUGGCCAUCACAAGGUGAAGUUAGGAUUGACCUCAUAUUCUCUUUCAAAAUCUCAUUGCACUCCAUUAAAUUUUUUGGACUAAGCCCAGCACUUUCUUUUUUGCAUCCACCUUCAGGUAUAUAACAUCUAAAAAAUUCUUCAAACUCCCGAACACCAAUAGCUUGACACAAUCCUCUAGUAUAGUUUGCAUUUGGAUUGUAAAUGUCAUACACCUCAUCAAGCAAUCCAGCAGCCAUCAUGAUGUCAACUCUAGAAUCAACAUGUUCGUCAAGUUGUGGAACAGAAGCAUCAACACAUAUCAAGCAGCAAUCAUAUUUGAAACUAUCGGCUUGACCCCAAUUCUGCCCUGCCACAUGCAAUGUUACACUAUGUAUUUGAUAUGAGAGUGGUAACAUUCAAGGAAUUAAGCAGCCAAGGUCAAAUGAAGAAUGAAUAAUCUGAAGAAAAUAAACUCAUUUUAGAAGUCCAAGCAUCAAGGAAGAACUAAAACGAGGGCUCACACGCAUUACCAUAGUCAGAUAGCUCAAUGGAAAGAAGAUUCAUACCUCAGCAGCCUUUCCUUGAAAAAGUGUGCUGGGAAGAACACCAGUGCGGUAAUACAAACUUAGGUAUUGAUUUAUCUGUAACAUAGUAUCAAUUGAAAAAAAAUCAAAAGUUGGGUAGGAUAUUUAGUUCAUUUAUGCAAGAUUAAGUAGUGGACCAUAUGACAAUCCUGUUAGGGGUUUUUGUGUCAUUUGUAUGGAAGGGAGAAGGAAUCAUAGUUGCGUUUCAAUGGCAGAAGUAUGAGCAAGAAGUUGAAUGAUAUUCGGCACUGAACCUUUGACAGGGAAAGGAACUGCUAACUCCCCAUUUUAUAUAUUAGUUUUAAACUUAAUUGGGUAGGGCCUAUCCCUCAAUGCUGCCAAAAUUUUUCUUCUUGGGAUUAAUCUUUGUGAUGAGGAGUUCGUUUCUAAAGCUAGUGAGUUGGGCUUCAAGGUUGAUAAAUUACCUUUUGUCUAAUUGGGUUUUCCACUUGCUGGGAAGGUCGCGGCUAAGGACGCCUAGGUUGCUCUUGAGGAGAAAUUUUAAAAAAAAAUUGAUUAAUGGUGUGGAUUGGUUAUUUCCAAAGGUGGUAGACUUACUCUUAAGUUUACCUUGUUACUUUUUCUCCUUAUUGAAGUCUUUGAAGGGUUCUAUUUCUCGUGUGGAAAAAGCUAAUUCAUGACUUUGUUUGGGGUGGUGGACUUGGUAAGCCAACCUCUCAUCUUGUCAACUGGAAGUCAACCUCUCUCUAUGAGAUUUAAAGGCAGUUGAAAAUCAGCUCUCUUAAUCGGGAGAAAUAUGCUCUCUUGAUGAAAUGGCUUUGGAGGUUUUGUCAUGAAGAAAACGCCUUCUGGAAGGAAUGUGAUUAGAGCUAUCUACGGUGUGGAGGAUCAUGGGUGGAGUUCUAUAAAGCCAAAAGACAAAAGCAGCUUCAGAUUACGAAAAUAGCAUUUUAAAACAAAAGGAACAAUUUGUUACCUUUGAUGAUUUUGUGGUGGCUGAUGGGAGACGCAUAAAGAUUUGGGAGGAUAGAUAGUGUGCUGCCCAACCUCCUGCUUCCUUGUACCAUGACAUCUACCUCAUUUCCUCAAAAAGAAUGAUGUGGUGACAGAUUGGGUUGAGAAGGAGAUUGUUUGAUAGAGAAAUUGGUAAUUAUAAUGCUCUUGGUCAACUGCUAACUGAUUGGGUGGUGAAUAGAGGAAAGGACAGCUUAUAGUGGAGGUUGGAAGCUUCGAGCUAGUUUUCUACCAAGUCUACUUUCCUCAAGUUAACCAAGGGGGCUACUAAAGUUAAACUACCUUCGGUCAAUCUGUUAGACCUCCUAUCAUACACCUACAAACGCAAGGGUAAAAAGGUGAUGGUUCAAGAAGGCAGCUCAGCCAAUUGAAUUAAAUGAAAAGAAUAUUUGGGUGUGGGGCCCACCUGGGGAGAGAGGUAUUUAAGGAAUGUUUUUAGGGAUUGGUGAGGUAGGUUUUAUUUUUGUAAAAAGCUGCGGUGAGAGCUUUUAGGGAGAAAACCAGCUUCUCGAAUUGCUGGGGUGUUGUUCUACUGUUUUCUUACUGUUGCCUUACUAUAUUUACCUUCUCUGUUUGAACUAUCGUUGUGAACGGUUCUUGUUGGUUUAUAUCUAUAUACAAAGAACUAAAGAAUAUCAUUUUUGUAUCUGUAUUGCGUUGAGUUUUUCUGAGUGCAGGGAAGUGUCUUAACAAAGUGGUAUCAGAGUCGCAAACAUCCUGGGAAGGACACGAGCAAUGACACAAAAACAGUGGGAGGAGAGAUUGGAAAUGAGUGAAGGAAAGCAGUCGAUCCAAACAUAGAGAAGAAUCGUGUGCCUCGAAGGGUUCUGGGCUUAAAAAGAAAGGAAAGGAGGGAGAGACGGACAUGAACUCAGUUUUCACUGGAGGAUCAUCGGAUUGAAGUAAAUACAAGAAGUUAGAGAUGCCUAUCUUCACAGGUGAUAAUCCGGAAUCAUGGGUCCAUAGGGCAGAGCAUUAUUUUGAUAUCAAUGAGUUGGCUAACGAGGAGAAAGUGAAAGUAGCCGUGAUCAGCUUUGGUCAAGACGAAGUAAACUGGUUCCGCUGGAGUAAUAACCGGAAGACAGUUACGUCUUGGGAGGAUCUCAAGAGAAGGAUGUUCGAACACUUCAAGACUCUCGGUGGAGGAAGUUUGGGGGCUCGUCUCAUUCGGAUUAAACAAGAUGGAUCUUACCCCAAUUAUUUAAAGAAAUUCUUGAACUAUUCGGCGCCGUUACCAGAGAUGGCGGAGAGCGUCCUCAUCGAUGCAUUUGUCACAGGUUUGGAGACGAAUCUACAAGCCGAAGUAUUAAGUCGUCAUCCAGUUACUUUGGAGGACUGUAUGCGUGAAGCCCAAAUGGUGAGUGAUUGUGACUUGGCAAUUAAGUUAGCCCUAAAUGAAUGUGGGAGUUAUGGGCCAAGGCCAUCUGAAGCCCAAACCCAGAUGGAAAAGAAAAAAAUGACGAUAAAUGCUGAAAAAAAAGAAGGAAAAAGCAGCGAAUACGUAAUGAAGCAAGUAUCGAUUCCGAUUAAGGGAAAUUAUUCGAGAGGAGAACCGUCGGUGAAACGCCUAUCGGAUAGCAAAUUCCGAGCAAGGCUUUGUUUUCGAUGUAACGAAAAAUAUUCACCAGGACACCGGUGCCAGGGCAAAACGAAUCGCGAGCUGAUGUUUUUUAUUGCGAAUGAAGAAGAAGAAUUGGAAGAUGUCAACAGGAAGGAGGAAGCCGAACUGGAAAUUGUUGAACUCGAAACCCUAGAAAUCAAGGGGGGAACAGAAAUAGCGCUUCGCACCAUCUUGGGGUUUACAUCAAAAGGUACAAUGAAACUACGAGGGACGAUGAAGGGAAGAGAAGUAAUUGUCCUCAUUGAUAGUGGCGCAACACACAAUUUCAUCCGUGAAGGAGUGGUUAAUGAGCUAAACUUACCAGUGGAGGAAAAAACAAAAUUCGGAGUGACUAUUGGCGACGGAACUGCACUGGAGGGAAAAGGGGUUUGCAAGAGAGUUGAGGUUAAGUUGCCGGAGUUAACAAUUGUGGCAGAUUUCUUAGCAAUCAAAUUGGGUACAAUUGAUGUGGUUUUGGGAAUGCAGUGGCUCAGCACGACCGGAUUCAUGGGGGUUCAUUGGCCGACGAUGACAAUGACGUUCAUGGCAGGAACCACGCAGGUGAUUUUAAAAGGGGAUCCGUCCCUUACAAAAACUGAAUGUUCCUUAAAGACGAUCUCUAAGACGUGGGAAAUGGAGGACCAGGGAUUUUUGUUGGAAUUCCAGAAAAUUGAAAUUGAAGAAAAUAAUGAGGACAGUGAAAGGGAGGAAGAGGGGGAUGAAGCAAAUUUACCUAUGAUUCGCAAGUUGUUGCAUAGGUUAAGGGGCUGUUCGAGAUGCCGAAAGAAUUACCUCCAAAAAGGGCAGUAGAUCAUCGAAUUCUGACUAUCGACGGACAAAAACCCAUCAAUGUGCGCCCUUACAAGUAUGGGUACAUACAGAAAGAAGAGAUAGAGAAACUGGUGACGGAAAUGCUUCAAGCAGGAAUUAUCCGGCCAAGUCGAAGCCCAUAUUCCAGUCCGGUAUUGCUAGUAAGGAAACGCGACGGUGGGUGGAGAUUUUGCGUAGACUACCGUAAAUUGAAUCAGGUGACUGUCUUCGAUAAAUUCCCCAUUCCCGUAAUCGAAGAACUGCUAGAUGAGUUACAUGGUGCUGAAGUUUUUUCCAAGCUGGAUUUGCGUUCGGGGUAUCACCAAAUUCGGAUGAAGGAGGAGGAUGUUGAAAAAACCGCGUUUCGCACUCACGAAGGGCAUUAUGAAUUUCUAGUUAUGCCUUUCGGGUUAACCAAUGCGCUGGCCACUUUUCAGUCCCUAAUGAACCAAAUUUUCAGGCCCUUCCUAAGACGGUUUGUGUUGGUCUUCUUCGACGAUAUCCUAAUCUAUAGUACUGAUAUUACCGAACACGAGAAGCACUUGGGAAUGGUGUUCAACGUAAUGAAAGACAACCAGUUAUUUGCCAAUGAAAAGAAAUGCGUAAUAGGGCACUCACGAGUUAAUUAUUUGGGACACUGGAUCUCUAAAAAAGGUGUAGAAGCGGACGGGGAAAAGGUGCAAGCAAUGGUAAACUGGCCCCAACCCAAAGAUGUUUCUGAAUUAAGGGGAUUCCUCGACCUCACGGGAUAUUAUCGAAGAUUUGUCAAAGGAUAUGGGAACAUUGCUGCUCCCCUGACCAAAUUGUUGCAAAAAAAUGGGUUCAAUUGGAACGAAGAUGCCACAUAAGCUUUCGAGUCCCUGAAACAAGCAAUGAUCUCGGUACCAGUCUUAGCACUCCCCGAUUUUUCCUUACCAUUUAACAUUGAAACGGACGCCUCAGGCGUAGGACUGGGAGCAGUUUCAUCACAGAAUGGCCGACCAAUAGCGUAUUUCAGGCAGAAAUUAUCUCCGAGAGCACAAGCAAAAUCUAUUUACGAAAGGGAACUGAUGGCAGUGGUAAUGGCAAUGCAAAAAUGGCGUCAUUAUUUGUUAGGGAGGAAAUUUACCGUACUGUCAGACCAGAAGGCACUAAAAAUUUUUAUUGAACAGAGGGAGGUCCAGCCCCAAUUUCAGAGAUGGUUGACUAAAUUACUGGGUUAUGAUUUUGAAAUUUUGUACCAACCCGGGCUGUUGAAAAAAGCAGCAGACGCACUAUCCCGCAUGAACCCUACUGUGGAAUUAAAUACUUUAAUCUCUCUGGGGCUGCUAGAUGUUGAGACGAUGAUGGAAGAAGUUAAAAGUGAUGAGGAAUUACAAGGAAUAAUUGAAGUCCUGAAGGAAAAUCCAGAAGGGAAAGCAAACUAUCAGUGGGUAUCAGACAAAUUGCUCUACAAGGGAAGGUUAGUCUUGUCGAAAACCUCUUCUCUUAUUCCAGCCUUACUCCAUACUUUCCACGAUUCAGUGUUAGGGGGCCAUUCGGGGUUUCUCAGAACAUACAAGCGUAUGAAUGGAGAGAUACAUUGGGUGGGCAUGAAAAAUGACGUAAAGAAAUAUGUCGAACAGUGUGAAACAUGCCAAAGAAAUAAAACAGAAGCACUCUCCCCAGCUGGAUUAUUACAGCCCCUACCUUUACCCAACUUAAUCCUCGAAGACUGGACGAUGGACUUCAUAGAAGGGUUGCCUAAGGCGGGAGGUUUCGAUAGUAUCAUGGUGGUGGUUGACCGACUAAGUAAAAUGGCUCACUUCAUUACCUUGAAGCACCCAUUUACGGCAAAGCAAGUUGCUGAAAAAUUUAUUGAAGAAAUUAUUAGCAAACAUGGGAUUCCAAACUCAAUAGUAACAAACCGGGACAAAGUCUUCUUAAGCCACUUUUGGAAAGAAUUAUUUACAGCCAUGGGAGCUUCACUGAAAAGAAGUACUGCAUUUCACCCUCAAACGGAAUCUUCUUAAGCCACUUUUGGAAAGAAUUAUUAGCAAACAUGGGAUGCCUCGAAACGUAUCUACGCUGUUUCUGUAACGAACAGCCUAUGAAGUGGCAUAAAUGCAUUCCUUAGGCUGAAUUGUGGUAUAACACCACCUUUCACUCGUCGGCAAAAACAACCCCGUUUCAAAUUGUGUAUGGGCGCCCCCCACCUCCGCUGAUUCUGUAUGGGGAUCGAAAGACCAAUAAUAACAGUGAAGAACAAUUAUUAAAAGAAAGGGAUCUGGUUAUUAGUGCAUUAAAGGAGAAUUUGUUGACAGCCCAGAAUAGAAUGAAGAAACAAGCAGAUCUAAGGCGUCGGGAACUGAAAUUCAAAGUGGGAGAUGAGGUUUAUUUGAAAUUACGACCUUACAGACAGCGAUCCUUAGCUAAAAAACGCUGCGAGAAGUUAGCUCCCAAGCUUUAUGGGCCCUAUCGUAUAAUGGAGGAAAUUGGGGAAGUAGCGUAUCGUUUGGACCUCCCACCUGACGCAAUGAUCCAUAACGUGUUCCAUAUUUCACAGCUGAAACUUAAGUUGGGUAAAAUACAACACAUACAACACCUACCACCUGCAUUGACUGAAGAUUUUGAGCUGCAAGUGGAACCGGAAGCAGUGCUGGGAGUUCGCUGGAACAGCGAGAUGGGAGCUAAUGAUUGGUUGGUGAAAUGGAAGGGGUUACAUGACAGUGAAGCGACUUGGGAAUCUGUUUAUGCGAUGAACUAACAGUAUCCUUCGUUUCACCUUGAGGACAAGGUGAGUUUUGAGCCCGACGGUAUUGUUAGACCUCCUAUCAUACACACCUACAAACGCAAGGGUAAAAAGGUGAUGGUUCAAGAAGGCAGCUCAGCCAAUUGAAUUAAAUGAAAAGAAUAUUUGGGUGUAGGGCCCGCCUGGGGAGAGAGGUAUUUAAGGAAUGUUUUUAGGGAUUGGUGAGGUAGGUUUUAUUUUUGUAAAAAGCUGCGGUGAGAGCUUUUAGGGAGAAAACCAGCUUCUCGAAUUGCUGGGGGUGUUGUUCUACUGUUUUCUUACUGUUGCCUUACUAUAUUUACCUUCUCUGUUUGAACUAUCGUAGUGAACGAUUCUUGUUGGUUUAUAUCUAUAUACAAAGAACUACAGAAUAUCAUUUCUGUAUCUGUAUUGCGUUGAGUUUUUCUGAGUGCAGGGAAGUGUCUUAACACAAUCCUAUUUGGAAACCGAAAGUUCCUUCGGUCCCUCGCCUAUAGAAGUCUCAACACCCAGGAAAAGCUCCAAAGAAAGUUUCCUGAUCGGAAUCUCUCCCCUUCCAGAUGUCCGCUUUGCCAGAAGGAGGCUGAGACUUUAGAUCACCUUUUUUUACACUGCAAGUUCACAUCCAAAGGGUGGAAUAGGAUUUUUGAGACUUUUGGGUUGGAUGGGAUCUCCGAUUGCAGGUUAAUGGCUGGAUGAUGGUGGGUUUGUAUGGGGGCAACUUUAGUGGAGAAGGAAAAUUUUUAUGGUGUUGUGCGACCCACACUCUCUUGUGCAUCUUUGGAAUGAAAGAAAUAGUAGGGUGUCUGACGAUAAGUUUAGCUCUUUUGAUUCUUUUUAGGGUUUUGUGCAGCAUACAGCUUCUUGGUGGUGUACAAACUACACUAAGUUAUUUUGUCAUUACAGCCUUCUCAUGAUUAUUAACCGAAAGGCGCUUAUUAAUUAGGAUUGUGUGUGUGUGUGUGUGUGUGUGUGUGUGUGGGGGGGGGGGGGGGGGGGGGGGGGGGGGGGCGUCCUCAACCCCUCGCCUUUAAGUUGUUCUCUUCUUGUUGAUAUAUAUAUAUAUAUAUAUCUUUCUCUGUUUCUUAUCAAAAAAAAAAAGAUUACACAUAAAAUAAACUGGCAGCCUUACUUUUCUGUGGUUAUUAGGGUGGAUUCUGUUAGCCGAAACUGGAUCAAUCUCUUUAAGAUGGUUAUGGUCAUACUUCAAACCAUCUCUGCACUCAUCCAAAUCAACACCCAGCCCUUCAUCUCCUGGAAAAACAUGAAUAAAAAAAUUAUUUUAAACACCAGAUCCAUACAAAUACUACUAAUAAACAUAAACCUGUAGAAUUAGAAAUUACCAGGAUAAAUGGAACAACCUCCACCAACAUUUUCUGCAGAAUCAUCCAGAAGAAACGGACUAACAAGAGCCUGCAUGAGAAAUAGAACAUGGUAACUUGAUGUACUAAAAUAAUAUAUAAAUAUAAGGAAAAUCCACAGAAAAGAAUGAUUAGAAGUUAAGCAUGAAGUCUCAAAUCUCCCAAACGAAGAUAAACAGCUUCUAAGAGCAGUCAUAACAUGAUUUGUAUCAUAUGAUCCAAAUCGAAACAAAGGGCAAACAAGUUAAAUCGCAUGUAUCAGAUGAUUCAAGAUAUUGAAUCAUGUGACUCGUUCUUGAAUCGGUAAAAGAUAAAAUAUCAUUCUCAAGUUGCUGGGACAAGAGAAGAAAACCCUGGGGAGUGGUUAGCAUCAAAAUAGUGUGGGUAAAAAAUCACGAAACAAGUGUGAUGGAAGUCGAAUGUAGUAAGUAAUUUCUAUUAUUAUUGAUGAUACUAUAGGAAUGAAUUCCUUGUUACAAUAUCAAAUAAUCCUCUCCUGCUAUCCUCUCUUUCAAGGAAGAACAGAAAGAUCUCUCCAAACUCAAAACAUAACUAACUUUCCCGCCCUCUUACUAAUUUUUAUUUAUACUAACUACUAACCCUUCCCCUUGCCAAUUCUCACGUGUCAUUCACAUGCACGUGUUACUUCUUUUUCUCUCUCCUGCUACCCAUUCUGUUCUUGUCAGCAAUAGAAGAAAAUAAAAUAUGAAGGUUUAAGGAUAACUGAUGAAGAGUGUGGAAGAAGAAAGAAGAGGGAGGGUUGCAAUAAUAUUUUUUUAAAAGGAAACAAAAUUUACUGAUAAAAUUUGCGGCAUGAGCUCAGAUGGUAGAUACAGAGAGACUCAAUAGAUACAAUCAAAAAAUAGACAAUACACCUGGAGAUUCAGUGAAUACCGAAAAGAGGCCAACCAACAUGAUAUCAAAACAUAAAUUACUAGAAAAUAGUGGUAUUGGUUAGAGGUUAUAAACACAUUCCAAUUGAGGCAAAUGUCUUGGAUCAAGAAGUCUCCAAAUAAUUUAGAUAAGGAGCACCAUGAGAAGCAAGUAGGCGAGGCUGAGGCAAAAUGAUUUGACUGUUCAUAAAAUUUAUGAUGAAAAAACUCUUUGUUUUCGUUUGAACCAGAAUUCUGAGAGAAAGGCUUUAACCGCAUUAGACCAUAGCGUUUGUGCUUUAGGAGGUAAGUGUGGACCGGUGAGUACUUGAAGCACAAGGAAGGGUUGCAACAGUGUUUCCCAAUUUCCAUUGAAGAAGAAAGAGAGUCACAGGGAAAAUGAAAAGACUAUUGAUUUGAGACACAAUUUGAAUCAAAGGGCAAACAGUUUCUUCCAGAAAUCAAUACAUCUCAAAUCAAAUUAAUCAAUAGUCUUUUUAUUUCCCUUGUAACUCUCUUUCCCCCUCGAUAGAAAUUCAGAAACAGGACAGCAGCCAUUCCUCUUAUUUCUUCUUCCACACUCCUCAUCAGUUCAUCUCUGAAGCUUCAUUUUCAAUUUUCUUCUAGGUUCUAAUAGACGACAAGGACAGUUUUUCCAUGAUUUUUUUAUCCAAACUACGUUGACAACAACCACUACCAGUCCACAAGGUUUUCUUCAACAGCAUCAUAGCAACUAAAAAAUGUUUUGAUUCAAGAAUAAGUGGCACGAUUUAGUAUCUCAAAUCACGAUACACAUAACUUCUGAUUCAAGACCACAAUUUAAAUGGUUUGCCCUUUGAUUCAAAUUGUAUAAUACAUAUCAUGUAUCAUAUGUUUUUAACAACAUUGAUUACACCUUGCAUUUUUACUUCUCCGGUCAAAUGAUCAAAUUUCAAGUACAAUGCCAAAAACUAGGUCAAAAGAAGAUCCCCAAAGACAUGUUCUAAAAUUUCAAAAAUCGGCUUUAUGAUGUCCAAAAAUUUCCUUCAACUACAUGACAACAGUCUUGAACGUGAACAAUUACAAGAUUUUGAACAAUAAAAUCCUUGCAGCUUUAAGCACUCAAACUAUCGCAUUCAUCAUUAGAUGACUGACAUUUUCUUACCUGUAUAUAAUAAUUUGUUCCACCCACUAUCAUUGGCAAGCAUCCACGAGAAAUUAUGCCAUCAAUAACCUGCAAAAUUAAAAUGCAGAAUCAAGACAAAACUACAUAAAUAACAUUAAUCAGAAGGGAAAAAAUCAGCCCACACUUCAUAUAAACGAUAAGAUUAAUAUGCUACAAACAGCACAGGACUGUUGAGUUACUAACCAAAAAGGUAGUCUAUCCAUUGGUCCUCUUCAAGUAUUUUAUAACACUCUAAUGUUAGCUAUUAAAUUCUGAGUAGACAAUUAUUAAGUUACUAACCACCUUCUCUUCCUACAACUCGAGUAAGAAACCAACAUUCCCAAAUGAAUCUAACUAUUAAAUUGCCCUGGUUCUUCUCCUUUCCCUGUAUUCCACAAGUAUUGUGUAGGACCAAGGAGAACCCUAGCCUCCUAUACGUUUGAAUGAGACCAGCAACUUCAGUAUGAUAACAGGAUUACUUGAGAAAUUUAACUUCUUGAUCUUAAUUGAGGAAACUAUUGACCAUGUUCAGAACUAGAAGAAGAAACUGAAGCUUUGUAAAAGCUCAUCGACUCAUAUCAUUGAAGAAUAGCAAUAGAAAACUACAAUAGAAUAGGACAAGUACAUUUUCCGACCACGCUAGUUUCCAUUUGCAACGAAAUAAAAAUUGCCACACAUCAAUUUUCAACUCUUUCAACUUAAAUCUCAGAGAAUACGCAAUGAGCCCUAGAAGCAAAAACCCUUUGGCGCGAUACAAUGUUAUAGCUAACUUACAUGAACAGCAGAAUUUCGGAAGUCUUUAGCCGUGAAUUCAACGUCUGGACUCACCGUACCUAAAAGAUGAUGCGGUACUCCUAGAAAACGAAACCCAUUAAGAAACUCAAAUCAGAAAUCAAGAGCAACCAAGGGAAGCACGGGUUCACCAAUAAUUGGAGAGAAUAGCAUACAAAUGGAAGUAACUAACUGACCAUUUUGAUCUUCGGGGGGAACUUUGUUUGUGAGAACGUCUAAACCUCGAUAAACCUGCAUAGAGUCGGCGUUGAUGAUCUCGACGGGGAAGUAAGAAGCCAAAUCAAUAGCGAGACGUGACUUCCCAGAACCAGUCGGCCCCAUAAUCACGACCACCUUCGGUUUUUCUCCUCCCAUAUUCAAAUUUGCAGACACCGUUCGAGUGCCUCCGUUUACGAUGGCCAUCUCUUCACCGGUGAGUCAAUUUUAGACCAUUUGUACCAUUCAAGGGAUCUCUUUGAGAAAUUUGGACGGAUGCCCUCCCACUUUCAAAUUCAAAUGACUAAUAGUCUUAUGUUAUGUGAUCUUAUGCUAUGUCAGCCACUGAGAAUUUACCAAAUUGACUUCAUCCACAAGCGAGGUCAAUUCGCUAACAAUUUCUUUUCGGUUCUUUCUCUCGUGUAUGUAUAAAGAUUUAGACAAAAUUAUCUUCAGCUUCAAGAUCCUAAGUUUUUCAAAGAACUCACGUAGAGUUCUUCGGAAUUCUCUCAAUUUUCUGCUAAAAAAUCUUUGUCCAACUCGCCGAAGAAGCGCGGGUUUGUUCCCGUCGGUCUGAUAUUUGAAUAUGGACUUCUCUCCUAAUCUUCAUCAAGAAAUGAUGAGGAUUUUUUUUCUUUUUUUUUCUUUGUGAGGUUUUUUGAAAACCUUAUUUGGUGGGUUUUGAGUUUUGUGAGGGAAAAUAGUCGGAGACUAGUAGAAGAAAUGGGAGACUAGUAGAAGAAAUGCAUUAAUAUUAUGAACAUAAUCUUAGGCCUCUUGGCCACAUAGUACAUUUUACAACUUAAUACAUGAAAAUUAUAAAAUGGUAUACAAAGAAAUUAGUCAAGCUUCAGAGUAUGAUUUCUCACUCUUCGGAUCUAAUUUUUGUUUGUUUUAUGAGAGGGAAAUAGUGGGGGAAGAACUCUCUUAUUCUUUUGUUCUAAGCUAUCACUUAUAACUUAAAACAGAAAGAAUGGAAGAUAGAGUGAGCUUGCUCUCUCCAAUUUUGCACACCUUGCUCUGAAGUAAAUGCCUUUAUUUAUAGGUGGGGAGUAAUGUUGACAGAACAUUCCACACUUUAUUAAUGCUUCUGACAAAGCUACAUCAACGUCGCACAAACGUCUUUUUGUCCUUUUCUGACAUUUGCAACAACCAAAUUUGUCUACUAGUACUUUAGAUCACCUAGCUCAUUGCGAUCGUCUCCUAGUUGGUUGUGUGUCUCAUUCUCUAAUGUUUGGUUGUCAUGCAUUAUAUGAGACUCAUUUCUAAUUUGAGUAAAAUCUGGAUAAGUGUUUUAACAUUUGCGUUUUGGUUAAGAAGUUGGAGUUUGAACCAAUUCACGAAAAGGAUUAAGUGAUAAAAUUUUAUAUGGUUAAGUAGAAGUUUUUGUGAUUUAAAACUUAGUUCAUGAGGAAGUUUUGAGAAAAGAAGGACUUGUAGUAGGAUCUAUAUGUCUAAACGCUCACAAGAGAAAGAGUCUUCACGAGAAAGUUAGGUAGUCUGCGAGAAGAGUUAUGCGUUAAAACUUUCGAAAGUUAUGUUAAGCGGUUAAAACUAUUCGCAUCAUGGAGUUAGGCGAGAAGAUGUAAAUUAUGAUUUAACAGGGAUAACAUGUAAGAUUAUGAAUUCAAGCAUGACUAAGAUAAAUAUUAAUUUUAGAAGUGUAAAAUUUUAAGUAGGAGCUAGCAAUUGGACAAUGAUUUAAGGAUGACUAAUUCAACUUAAAGAAUAGUAUAAAUAAAGGAUUUAGGUCACUAAGUAAGGAAGAUUUUUCUGAAAAUUUUGAAGUGUUGAAGUGUUGCCAUUUUGUUUCUGCGAGAAGGCUACGCGAUAAAGAAGAAGAAGAGAUUUAUGGUUCUAAGGCUAAGUAUAGUGAGUGAUCUUUUCUUAAAAGUAUUUAUAUGAUUUCAAACAUGUUUCAUAAUGUUUAAAGUUUGAUUUGAUGACUAUGAUAUUGAUUAAGAAAUGGUUUUCAAACCAUUAGUUGCUUCCUUGAAUAAGCUAAUUGUUAUGUGCAUAUAAGGUUAAAUGCAGCCAUGUAGAAAAGGCAUGCAUGGUGAGUGAAGUCGGCCAAUGUAAAAAAGGAUUGCAUUGUGUUAGACGACCUAAGCAACAAGGAAAAUAUGUAUGUUCUCAUAUGCUAUUGAUAUAGUAGUCUAAACGUGAGGUAAUGAGAUCAAGCGUAGAGAACAAUUUGAGAUCCUUGGCGAAGGGAAUAAUUGUGACUAAUGGGUGUUUAUGCUAAAUGCAUUUUGAUGUGAUUUGCAAGUUGAUUUGAUUCUAUUGUAAAAAUGAUUAUAUGCAUUUUGAUAUGUUUUGAGAAAUUAUGUGUUUAUUGAUAAACUUAUUUGUGUUAAAAUGUAUGUUUUGGGGAAAAUGAUUUAUGGAAAGAUAUUGCGAAAACCUCACAAAGUCUUUUAGCCUUAUGUUUUAAAAUUUCAUUUUCCAAGAUCAGACAUUUAUGUCAAGUAGAGAAGAAGGUUGAAGGACGCGGCUUGCAGCGAGUUAGACAAAACUAUGAGGCGUUGUAUGAAACGCAUGUUGUUAAUAAAGCCUAUAGCGAUAUUUUAGAUUCAAAAUAAUUAAGUAUAUAACAAUAUUUUAAAAAAUUUGCAAAUAUAGCAAAAUUUGUCCAAUUCUAUCAAUGAUAAAAGUCUAUCACCAAAUAUGGUCUAUCAUUGAUACAUCAUAUGAGUCGAUCAACGAUAGUUUUGGUAUAUUUGUAAUUUUUUUAAAAUCUUGUUAUAUCCUUAAUUAUUAUUGCUCAAAUGACCAUCAAUUACAAUUACAAAAAAAAGUAAUAUAUUUGUUUUCGAUUUCUUGAUGGGUUUAGAAUUUUAUUGAUGGGUUUAGGGUUUCUUGAUGGAGAAAGACAAAAAAAAAAAAAAAAAAGAAUGCCCGUUAAGAAGCUUUUUUUUUUUUUUUUAAUUUUAAUUAUGGGUUUAAGAUAAGACCUUGGGCAAGACCCGUAAAAAAUGAAAUCUUAAUGGGCAUUGCUCCUUAAGAAAAAACUAUUUCCUUGCACAAAAUUUGGACCUUUGUUAACAGGUUUAGAAAACACGAUAUUUAUCAAUAAUAUUUUUAAAGCUACUUUUUUUUCCAAUUAUUACUGUCUAUACAUCAAUAAGACAAUAUUACUUUUUAGAAAAAGUUAACUGAUAUAAUUAUAAUUAGAUUAAAAUAAGUUACUUUAUCAAAAUUAAAUUAGUUAUUGUGUUCAACUUUAAUGAGUUGAAUUGAAAGUUUGUAAUUUAAGAUUGGUAGAAGUUGUAAAACAUGAAUUUAACUCAACCGACACCUGUAUAUAUCUGUAGAUAAGAGGUCUCAAGUUCAUAUGAGGAAAUCAAGAGCGUAAAGAUGUCAAUUAGCACAAACCUAAGGUAGGUGUGAGAAAAUAAAAGAAAAUCUAUUCUUUUUUUUUCAUAAAAUAGAAAAAAAGAAUAAGUCAUUUAUUACAUAUUUUGGCCAUCAAGAAAACGAUUUUUUUAUGGAUUUUUCAAUUUCCUUAAUGGGUAAAAAACAUCAAAGUCACCUUUUUUUAAUGGUCAAUACGUUUUUUUUAUGGUUGGGCUUUCUUGAUGUAUGUCUACUUGAUACUUGAUUGGCAAAGACUAUCAAGGUAGACAUUUUUUAAUGUGUUUUGCAUAUCAAAGAAGGUCAAAUUUGUACUGGUGAGGGCAGAUUUAUUAAGGAGUCGGAGUAUGUGCCCCCUUACAUUCUUGAUUUUUGUAUUUUAAUAUUAAUUUUGAAGUGUUAAAUUACAAUAUAUAUUAAAUAAUCUUUACUAAAUUCUGGUUCCGGUAUAGUGGUUGUGCCCCUCCUACAAAACCAUAAGAUUCUAGGUUGAUCCAAACUUCCACUCUCUUAGCAAUAUUCUAUGAAAAUGUAUUAUUCUUUUUUUCUUUUUUUUUUUUUUUUUGUUUUUAAUGCAAUUUUUAAAUUCACAUAUUUACAUUACAAAAAAUCAUGUGAAAAUUAUCAGUUUUUCUUUAUUGCUACAAAUGUAAUAAAUGUUAUUGGAGCAUUAGUGAAACAUCGAGAUAUUUUUUUUACAUUUUUAAUGUGUUUAUUAUAGAGUGUUUGAUGUCACUUUGUAUAAGAUUUAUGGUUCUGCCACUGUCAAUGAUAGAAACGGUCUAUAAAUGCCAUUAAUAGAAGGAUAUUAGUGUCUAUCAAUGUGUAUUAUUGAUAGAAUCUGAAAAUUUUACUAUAUGUUUUAAAUAUUUUGUCAAAUUUAUUAUUUUUGACAAUUUCCCAAAUUUCUAUUCCUGAUUUUAAAUUUUCCAAACAUUUCUUCCCUACAAAAAGUAAACAACAUGACUAAAUGAAGUUUAAAUACGUUUAAGAUGGUGACUUAUUACGAUUAGUCUAUCAAUAAAAUUUUGUUUUAACUGAACCAUUUUUUUUUUAUUAGAAAGGUGGCCAAAAUCCUUAUAUUCAUUUUGGUGUUUUGUUAACAACUGAUAUAUGAAAACAAAAACAAAAAAAUCAAAAUUAAAAACAAAAACAAAAAGAUUAAAAAUUAAAAAGAAUGGUGAGUGUUGGAUGCAAUGGGUAGCAUCCAAGAGAGUGGAGAUAUUUUUGCUCAAACGAGACCAAAUUCUUGAGAUACAACUUGAUCGUUGAUAUUUCCGCCUAUAACAUGACACAUGGACAAUUAGCUAAAAUGACAGUCCACAGGUGGCGCCACCUCAACCUAAAUCCCAUAACUCGUAAUUCUCACAACUACCAGCACCGUCCGUUCUACGUCUUGGCCAUCCCAGAUUACAACACGUGGAUCUAAACAGUGGUGACGGUUAGUUUAAGUAUCUUCAAAUAACAGCCGGUUAAGAAUUAGCGGGGUUUUUGUCACCCUCACUGUUCAUUAUCUUCUACUGCAAAAUUCCAGUCUCCUCGUUCCAGCCUCACGAACCUUGGCGAGUGUGAAGGGGUUUUGAUUUGUUUCGUCAAGGUUCUCCCAUGGAGUCGAUUGGUUGUAGUUUGAGUUCUUUAUCGUUGGCUCCUUUCAGGGCGAAGAGUUUUUCGGUUCAGGAGAUGUUAUUUGGGCCUUGCCGGAGACCUUCAUUGCCGAUACUUCAUGCAUCGGUGGCUCAAAGCUUUCCCGAGCUUCGAAAAUCUACUUCUAUUGCUGCUAGUGGUACCUUGAUGGCCAAUUCCGUGCCGGUGUGUUGUUCUUUCUGUUUUUUUCGUCUUUUUAUGUGUUAGUAAUGGUGGAUUCGAGUUGCUUGAUUUUUUUUUAUUUAUUAAUCCAUCAAUAGAGAUCUUUAUAGAGAAGACACUUUUCUUUAUUUUCUAUGACAUCUUCUGGUCUUGCUGGAGAUGUGAAAAGGAUGGGAAGCAUGUUGCUGUUUUAUUGAAUAACCGCAUUUCUCUAACUUGUUCUAAUCUUUUAAUUUUUUCCAGGGUGUUAAGAAAUUUAUUCUUCUCUUUUUAAAAUCUUUAUAUGCAGUCUGGAACUGGUGUAUACAUAGUUGGUGACUUUAUGACUAGGAAAGAGGAGUUGCAUGUUGUGAAGCCCACAACCAGUGUUGAUGAAGGUAGUUGAAAUUUGUGAAUAUUUUCGUCCAACCUAUUGGCAAAAUGUGGCUUAUUGUGUCUGUUUAUUCAUACAGCAUUAGAAAUUCUGGUGGAGAAAAGGAUCACAGGAUUUCCAGUUAUUGAUGACAAUUGGAAAUUGGUAUCAUUUCAUUUCCCAUAUUUAUUAGAGACAUUUCUUUACUGUAGUUAUGUUUUAUUUUGUUGGCCUCUUUGAAGUAUUUCUGGUUAUCUAACAUCCACAUAUUGCCCCACAAAAUGUUUCUCUGAAGUUGUUGAGUUUUGUUCAGGAUUUUGCAUCAAAUUGUUUACUUGAAUUAUCAAGUUUUCACUUUUCCACUAUGACUUGUAUUACCAUGAGAGAAUCCAAUUUUUUGUCUGUUUCUCAUCAGAAUUAAACUGGGAAAGCAUAUGUGUUCACCCAACAAUUUGUUUUGAAUGUCUUAUUGAACUUGCGACAGAUGGUACUCAUGUUGCUUAUUGCUCUAUACAAGUCAAUCCUUUCCCAUUUUUUUCAGUUCCUGUUCAGGACUAAUGCAACCUUUAGUGCUUAUAAUCUGUGUGAAUGAAGGUCUGAUGUGUUCUUUUUUGUGUUUAUAUGUAUGUGUGCGCUCCCUCAGACACCAUUAUCUGAAUUAUCAAUGAAGAGUGUGGUUGAUUUAAAUGGCCCAAUGAUACUUAAUCAUCGAUGCUCAUAAUAGAAAUUACUUCUUGAUGCAGGUUGGUGUAGUUUCUGACUAUGACUUGUUAGCACUAGAUUCCAUCUCAGGUAAGUUGUCUUUUAUCUUUGGUGAUUACUUCGUCAUUAGCUCCAAUUCUUUUUCAGAAAAGAAAAGAAUUUAGCUUUUCUAGAUUUUAUAUUUCGAUAACUCAAGUUUCUAUGCUCCACACUCUAUACUUGUUUGAAAGGUUAGUAUUGACUUUUUUGCAUGUAUUGAUUUUUUCCCAAUUUUUUCUUUAUAUGAAAGAUAGAUAGUAUCAUUUCAUCAACUUAACGAGCAAAUAUUUGCAGUUAGGAAAGAGGGUGAAGAAUUUGGCUAAGUCUUGAUUGUUAUUGUGAAAUUUGAGAAGCAAGAAUAAAGGUCAAAAUGUCAUUUUUGUUUCUGUAAUUUGGGUUCCAUUUGAUUUUAGUUCCUACACUUUAAAAAAAUAUAAAAUUUAGUCAUUUAAAAUUAAUUUUUAUCCAGAGUGAUUAAAUAAUAAUAAUUUUCAUGGAAGUGAACUAAAUUUAUUGAUAGUACAUGAACUAAAUUUGGCAUAUGUGGAAGUAUAGGGAUUAAAAUGGAACGAAUCCUUAAGUGCAAGGACCAAAAUUAUAUUUUAACCACAAUUAAAUUGUCUUGCACCAAGAAAAUACUGAUUUACUUCUCUAUUAGAAAUGGACAAAUGGUUGUAG